CGAGCAGGCGGCUGGAUAAGUCGGACGUGAAAGCUCCCGGCUCAACCGGGAGAGGCCGUUCGAAACUAGUCAGCUGGAGGGCAGCAGAGGAGCGUGGAAUUCCGGGUGGAGCGGUGAAAUGCGCAGAGAUCCGGAGGAACACCAGAGGCGAAGGCGGCGCUCUGGGCUGCACCUGACGCUGAGCCGCGAAAGCAUGGGGAGCGAACG
Molecule: ribosomal RNA, 207 nt
Filed under: uncultured bacterium
Lineage: Bacteria
Description: partial 16S ribosomal RNA
Rfam family: Bacterial small subunit ribosomal RNA
Source: RNAcentral